UACGGAGGAUGCAAGCGUUAUCCGGAAUGAUUGGGCGUAAAGCGUCCGCAGGUGGCAAUGUAAGUCUGCUGUCAAAGCGUCUGGCUCAACCAGAUAAAGGCAGUGGAAACUACAUAGCCAGAGUAAGGUAGGGGUAGAGGGAAUUCCUGGUGUAGCGGUGAAAUGCGUAGAGAUCAGGAAGAACACCGGUGGCGAAAGCGCUCUGCUGGACCUUAACUGACACUGAGGGACGAAAGCUAGGGGAGCGAAUGGG
RNAcentral lists this ribosomal RNA (253 nucleotides) under uncultured bacterium. RNAcentral's name for it is "partial 16S ribosomal RNA". It matches the Rfam family "Bacterial small subunit ribosomal RNA", at positions 524 to 776 of the family's 1533-position model. The record is from RNAcentral.